AUUGAACGCUGGCGGCAGGCCUAACACAUUCAAGUCGAGCGGAUGAAGGGAGCUUGCUCCUGGAUUCAGCGGCGGACGGGUGAGUAAUGCCUAGGAAUCUGCCUGGUAGUGGGGGAUAACGUCCGGAAACGGGUGCUAAUACCGCAUACGUCCUGAGGGAGAAAGUGGGGGAUCUUCGGACCUCACGCUAUCAGCUGAGCCUAAGUCGGAUUAGCUAGUUGGUGGGGUAAAGGCCUACCAAGGCGACGAUCCGUAACUGGUCUGAGAGGAUGAUCUGUCACACUGGAAGUGAGACACGGUCCAGACUCAUACGGGAGGCAGCAGUGGGGAAUAUUGGACAAUGGGCGAAAGCCUGAUCCAGCCAUGCCGCGUGUGUGAAGAAGGUCUUCGGAUUGUAAAGCACUUUAAGUUGGGAGGAAGGGCAGUAAGUUAAUACCUGGCUGUUUUGACGUUACCAACAGAAUAAGCACCGGCUAACUUCGUG
Molecule: ribosomal RNA, 484 nt
Filed under: uncultured bacterium
Lineage: Bacteria
Description: partial 16S ribosomal RNA
Rfam family: Bacterial small subunit ribosomal RNA
Source: RNAcentral